This 494-nucleotide ribosomal RNA is filed under the name uncultured bacterium. RNAcentral's name for it is "bacterial SSU rRNA". It matches the Rfam family "Bacterial small subunit ribosomal RNA", at positions 28 to 508 of the family's 1533-position model. The record is from RNAcentral.
GACGAACGCUGGCGGCGUGCCUAACACAUGCAAGUCGAACGGGGACAAACGCUGAAUUGAAGGUAGCUUGCUACUGAAUUUUCUUGUUUGUCUUAGUGGCGGACGGGUGAGUAACGCGUGAGUAACCUGCCUUACAGAGGGGGGACAACAGUUGGAAACGACUGCUAAUACCGCAUAACAUAGCGAAGAGGCAUCUCUUUGUUAUCAAAGGAGCAAUCCGCUGUAAGAUGGACUCGCGUCCAAUUAGAUAGUUGGUGGGGUAACGGCCCACCAAGUCGACGAUUGGUAGCCGGACUGAGAGGUUGAACGGCCACAUUGGGACUGAGACACGGCCCAGACUCCUACGGGAGGCAGCAGUGGGGGAUAUUGCACAAUGGGGGAAACCCUGAUGCAGCAACGCCGCGUGAAGGAAGAAGGUCUUCGGAUUGUAAACUUCUGUUUUUAGUGAAGAACAAAUGACGGUAGCUAAAGAGAAGCCACGGCUAACUACGUAG